UCGCUUACGGCAGCACAUAUACUAAAAUUGGAACAUUUACAGAGAAGAAUUAGGCAUGAGCCCAUGCGCAAGGAGACACGCAAAUUCGUGAGCGGUUCCAUAUCUUU
This is a small nuclear RNA of Xenopus laevis (African clawed frog), 107 nucleotides long. The record is from RefSeq and is a predicted model, not a curated record. Lineage: Eukaryota; Metazoa; Chordata; Amphibia; Anura; Pipidae.